AGAACGAACGCUGGCGGCAUGCCUAAUACAUGCAAGUCGAACGAACUCUUCGGAGUUAGUGGCGCACGGGUGCGUAACGCGUGGGAAUCUGCCCCUUGGUUCGGAAUAACAGUUGGAAACGACUGCUAAUACCGGAUGAUGACGAAAGUCCAAAGAUUUAUCGCCAAGGGAUGAGCCCGCGUAGGAUUAGCUAGUUGGUGAGGUAAAGGCUCACCAAGGCAACGAUCCUUAGCUGGUCUGAGAGGAUGAUCAGCCACACUGGGACUGAGACACGGCCCAGACUCCUACGGGAGCAGCAGUAGGAAUAUUGGACAAUGGGCAAAG
RNAcentral lists this ribosomal RNA (324 nucleotides) under uncultured soil bacterium. RNAcentral's name for it is "bacterial SSU rRNA". It matches the Rfam family "Bacterial small subunit ribosomal RNA", at positions 26 to 380 of the family's 1533-position model. The record is from RNAcentral.